This 254-nucleotide ribosomal RNA is filed under the name uncultured bacterium. RNAcentral describes it as "partial 16S ribosomal RNA". It matches the Rfam family "Bacterial small subunit ribosomal RNA", at positions 524 to 776 of the family's 1533-position model. The record is from RNAcentral.
UACGUAGGGCGCAAGCGUUAUCCGGAAUUAUUGGGCGUAAAGAGCUCGUAGGCGGUUUGUCGCGUCUGCCGUGAAAGUCCGGGGCUCAACUCCGGAUCUGCGGUGGGUACGGGCAGACUAGAGUGAUGUAGGGGAGACUGGAAUUCCUGGUGUAGCGGUGAAAUGCGCAGAUAUCAGGAGGAACACCGGUGGCGAAGGCGGGUCUCUGGGCAGUAACUGACGCUGAGGAGCGAAAGCGUGGGGGAGCGAACAGG